AGUGGCGGACGGGUGAGUAACGCGUGGGUAACCUGCCUCACACUGGGGGACAACAGUUAGAAAUGACUGCUAAUACCGCAUAAGCGCACAGGACCGCAUGGUCCGGUGUGAAAAACUCCGGUGGUGUGAGAUGGACCCGCGUUUGAUUAGGUAGUUGGUGAGGUAACGGCCCACCAAGCCGACGAUCGGUAGUCGACCUGAGAGGGUGACCGGCCACAUUGGGACUGAGACACGGCCCAG
RNAcentral lists this ribosomal RNA (240 nucleotides) under uncultured bacterium. Its description in RNAcentral is "partial 16S ribosomal RNA". It matches the Rfam family "Bacterial small subunit ribosomal RNA", at positions 94 to 334 of the family's 1533-position model. The record is from RNAcentral.